RNAcentral lists this non-coding RNA (31 nucleotides) under Rattus norvegicus (Norway rat). Lineage: Eukaryota; Metazoa; Chordata; Mammalia; Rodentia; Muridae. The record is from RNAcentral.
UUGGAGACUCAACUUACAGUGUACUUACUAU